Molecule: ribosomal RNA, 254 nt
Filed under: uncultured bacterium
Lineage: Bacteria
Description: partial 16S ribosomal RNA
Rfam family: Bacterial small subunit ribosomal RNA
Source: RNAcentral
UACGAAGGGGGCGAGCGUUGUUCGGAAUUACUGGGCGUAAAGCGCACGUAGGCGGCUUUGUAAGUCAGAGGUGAAAGCCUGGAGCUCAACUCCAGAACUGCCUUUGAGACUGCAUCGCUUGAAUCCAGGAGAGGUGAGUGGAAUUCCGGGUGUAGCGGUGGAAUGCGUAAAGAUCCGGAAGAACACCGGUGGCGAAGGCGGUUAGCUGGGCAGUUGCUGACACUGAGGCGCGACAGCGUGGGGAGCAAACAGGG